UACGUAGGUCCCGAGCGUUGUCCGGAUUUAUUGGGCGUAAAGCGAGCGCAGGUGGUUUAUUAAGUCUGGUGUAAAAGGCAGUGGCUCAACCAUUGUAUGCAUUGGAAACUGGUAGACUUGAGUGCAGGAGAGGAGAGUGGAAUUCCAUGUGUAGCGGUGAAAUGCGUAGAUAUAUGGAGGAACACCGGUGGCGAAAGCGGCUCUCUGGCCUGUAACUGACACUGUGGCUCGAAAGCGUGGGGAGCAAAUAGG
RNAcentral lists this ribosomal RNA (252 nucleotides) under uncultured bacterium. RNAcentral describes it as "partial 16S ribosomal RNA". It matches the Rfam family "Bacterial small subunit ribosomal RNA", at positions 524 to 776 of the family's 1533-position model. The record is from RNAcentral.